AUUGAACGCUGGCGGCAGGCUUAACACAUGCAAGUCGAGCGAGCGGCGGACGGGUGAGUAAUGUCUGGGAAACUGCCUGAUGGAGGGGGAUAACUACUGGAAACGGUAGCUAAUACCGCAUACCAUCAGAUGUGCCCAGAUGGGAUUGGCUAGUAGGUGGGUUAACGGCUCACCUAGGCGACGCUCCCUAGCUGGUCUGAGAGGAUGACCAGCCACGCGGGAACUGAGACACGGUCCGGGAUCCUACGGGAGGCAGCAGUGGGGAAUAUUGGACAAUGGGAGCAAGCCUGAUGCAGACAUGCCGCGGGUGUGAAGAAGGCCUUCAGGUUGUAAAGCACUUUCAGCGAGGAGGCGUUACUCGCAGAAGAAGCACCGGCUAACUCCGUGCCAGCCGCCGCGGUAAUUC
This 406-nucleotide ribosomal RNA is filed under the name uncultured bacterium. Its description in RNAcentral is "partial 16S ribosomal RNA". It matches the Rfam family "Bacterial small subunit ribosomal RNA", at positions 30 to 526 of the family's 1533-position model. The record is from RNAcentral.